AAACAACUAGGAUAUGAUACCACUUGGAACAAGAUUUAGGCGACUACAGCGACUCAUUAAUUGUCCAUCAUUUUUUCUGUACUAAUAACUGAAUAAAUUUGAAUUGCGUUGCUGCUAAUUUGAGAAAGCACAUUAGAAAACAUGUAUCAGAUUGUAUACAAAUUAACCGUAGCAUGAAAUUACAAUUAGACAUCAUCAACUGAAGUUGAGCUUGCAUACUAUUGGUAGAAAACGGACAUCGUUACUAUUGAUUUAUUUUUGAUGAUCGAACUUUUGAAUUGACGAUCGACACCGUUGAUCAUGAUCUAGACCGCUUGAAGUAUCUAGAAAUCAAAUUAUAUAUUUUUUCGAUAUUAUUUUUUUGUGCAUCAAGUGAGCACUAAAUUGAACAACUGAAAAUAAAUAUAGUUUAAAAAGUGAUGAUAAAAUUUUUGUAAUUAAGAUCAAGAGUGUAGAUUCUGUUUUAAAUAGUUUAAAGAAUUUUCUAAUAAAAAUUCAACUAAUUUGAAUUCAUUUAUACCUUUAAACGAGCAAAUGCUUCGUAUCAAUCAUUAAAAUUAUAAAUUUAUAACCUUUUGAUAAUUAAGUAAAUAAUAUAAAAAAUAUAUAAAAUUUGAUUUAUAUAUAUUUUAAGUGAUUUAGAUUAUAUUCAAGGGUACACUCGUCAAUUUUAAAGCUCGAUCAUCGAAAAGAAAUUGAUAAUAAUAGAGUUUAUUUUCUAUUGAUAGUAUUUCAGCUCAAUUCUUAUCUAUUAACUUAUAUGAAUUCACGAUGUUUUUUGCCAUGUGGCAAGUUGUCCUUUACCUUCACCAUCAUUUGACCCUUUCUAUUCCCUUCAUCAAACUUUCAAUUAAUACAUCUAAACGUUACUAUUACCAAACUUUCAAUAACAAGAUGCCCUUCACUGCAUUUGACCCUUCCCUUUCCCUUCAUGAAACUUUCAAUUAAUAUAUGUAAUUAAUACAUCUAAAUAUUUUCAGUACCAAACUUUUCCUCCACCAGAUUUUUCAUUUCCAAUUAAUUCAUCAAUUCUCUCUUCCUCAUCUUUUUUCAUACACUAUCGCCUCUCUCCCCUCUCUCACUAAUGCGCGCCCAUGUUCCCCCCUCCGCCGCGGCCUAAGGGAUUGCCGUCAUUUUCACUAUCAUCAUCGCCGGAGAAGGAGUCGUCAGUUUCAUCCCUACUAGCAAUAGUGAGUGAUCUUUUGUGACUAUGGGAGGAAUACAAAAGAAUAUUUGAUGUUAUCUUAUUAUUAAUUACUUUUUAUAAUUUUUACGUGCUGUGAAGUGUGGGCUCCUUCUCUAGUUAACUAUUAUUUAUCAUAUCUUUCUAU
RNAcentral lists this long non-coding RNA (1331 nucleotides) under Ananas comosus (pineapple). RNAcentral describes it as "long non-coding RNA (ACOM_LNC010911)". The record is from RNAcentral. Lineage: Eukaryota; Viridiplantae; Streptophyta; Magnoliopsida; Poales; Bromeliaceae.